Molecule: ribosomal RNA, 500 nt
Filed under: uncultured bacterium
Lineage: Bacteria
Description: bacterial SSU rRNA
Rfam family: Bacterial small subunit ribosomal RNA
Source: RNAcentral
AACGAACGCUGGCGGCAUGCCUAACACAUGCAAGUCGAACGCCCUGGUUCGCCAGGGAGUGGCGCACGGGUGAGUAACGCGUGGGAACCUGCCCGGCAGUACGGGACAACCGCGGGAAACUGCGGCUGAUACCGUAUACGGCCUGAGGGCGAAAGAAUUUCGCCGUCGGAGGGGCCCGCGUCGGAUUAGGUAGUUGGUGGGGUAACGGCCUACCAAGCCUGCGAUCCGUAGCUGGUCUGAGAGGAUGAUCAGCCACACUGGGACUGAGACACGGCCCAGACUCCUACGGGAGGCAGCAGUGGGGAAUAUUGGACAAUGGGCGCAAGCCUGAUCCAGCAAUGCCGCGUGAGUGAUGAAGGCCUUAGGGUUGUAAAGCUCUUUCGCCCGCGACGAUGAUGACGGUAGCGGGAGAAGAAGCCCCGGCUAACUCCGUGCCAGCAGCCGCGGUAAUACGGAGGGGGCUAGCGUUGUUCGGAAUUACUGGGCGUAAAGGGCGCGCA